AGUGAACGCUGGCGGUAGGCCUAACACAUGCAAGUCGAACGGCAGCACAGUAAGAGCUUGCUCUUACGGGUGGCGAGUGGCGGACGGGUGAGGAAUACAUCGGAAUCUACUUUUUCGUGGGGGAUAACGUAGGGAAACUUACGCUAAUACCGCAUAGGACCUACGGGUGAAAGCAGGGGAUCUUCGGACCUUGCGCGAUUGAAUGAGCCGAUGUCGGAUUAGCUAGUUGGCGGGGUAAAGGCCCACCAAGGCGACGAUCCGUAGCUGGUCUGAGAGGAUGAUCAGCCACACUGGAACUGAGACACGGUCCAGACUCCUACGGGAGGCAGCAGUGGGGAAUAUUGGACAAAGGGCGCAAGCCUGAUCCAGCCAUACCGCGUGGGUGAAGAAGGCCUUCGGGUUGUAAAGCCCUUUUGUUGGGAAAGAAAAGCAGCAGGUUAAUACCCCGCUGUUCUGACGGUACCCAAAGAAUAAGCACCGGCUAACUUCGUG
Molecule: ribosomal RNA, 492 nt
Filed under: uncultured bacterium
Lineage: Bacteria
Description: partial 16S ribosomal RNA
Rfam family: Bacterial small subunit ribosomal RNA
Source: RNAcentral